GAGAACUUCUUGCCACGCGCGUGCACCCAUCCGAUCACGCCUCCUGGCCCCUGUCAACCUCCAAUGAUCGUAAUUCAUCUUCACGGAAUCGGUGCCUCUCGUAAAUCACUGAAUGAAUUAAUAGACUUUCGAAGAGAGAACGAUAUCUGGCGCAGAUUGCAAAGCACGCGCAAAUGUACACGUUUCAAAAACCAAAGGUGACCAAAAAAAUCCCUAGAAAAAUCCCUAAAAAAUCAUCGUCCAUCUGUCGAAGGAAAUAUGAUAUAUUGAAACACAUUCGUCAGACCACAGUUGACGAGAGUCGUACCGCCAUAAGCUACAGGAAGAACUUCGACGAUAACGAAUCGCUGAUACAAAGCGAUAGUUGCUUGCUCGCCUUUGUAAUCUCAGCCAGACAGAUCGACUGCGCUGACGGGGAGAGAACGGACGGCCAAGUGAAAGGGCCCGGGGCAGGGCUUGCUUCUGACGACGGUGAUAUAGCAGUCGAUGGUGGUGGUGGUAGUGGUGGUGGAACAUCCGCUAAUUGGAUAAUUACGGAGUACACCGCGUUUGUUUUAUAAUUGGGCGAAAGCCGUGGAACCGUUGGUUCCACCUCGACGUGCCAAACAACGAAACGACCAGAGUCACGCUCUACGUGACGAACUACCCUCGAAGCUAAUCCCACGACCGGAACCCCACGGCUCGGCGAACCCCCCUCUGCACGGCUCGCGCUCUCUCCCGCCUCUGACCCCUGAUUUACCAUCCUCGCCCCUUCCUUCGUCCACCAUUCUCUCCCUUUCUAUCGUGCACGCAACCAAGGAGCAACCAACUUGGAACAAACGGAGAGAAUCAACUCCCUUUCCACGUCUCUUCGCUGGCUCUGUCACGCGGCUUUCAGAUGGAAAAAUCUUGCGUGGCUACGAAGUCACGGCUCGUUAACAACCGCCGCUGGUCGACUCUUAAUUGGGACGGCCCUAAUCGGUUCGCAAUUUUCGGGGACAGUUCGCCGUGACUUUAACGAGUUUGAUGUAGACAACGGAGCUAACGACGAAUCGGGGACGGGUGAGCACGAUUUUCCUCGCGUGUAGAAAGAAGAAAGGUAGAAACAAAGGGAUUUACCUUUUGAUUUAUUUGAUGACAAAUAUCGACGAAGUAAAAGAGUUGUUGCUAUUGCGAUCGAUAGAUAUCAAUGUCGAUUUCGUUGAAAUGGUAACGUGAAUUACAUAUUUAAC
Molecule: long non-coding RNA, 1211 nt
Organism: Frieseomelitta varia
Lineage: Eukaryota; Metazoa; Arthropoda; Insecta; Hymenoptera; Apidae
Exons: 3
Source: RefSeq, a predicted model, not a curated record